GACGAACGCUGGCGGCGUGCCUAAUACAUGCAAGUGGGACGCAAGGAAACACACUGUGCUUGCACACCGUGUUUUCUUGAGUCGCGAACGGGUGAGUAACGCGUAGGUAACCUGCCUAUUAGCGGGGGAUAACUAUUGGAAACGAUAGCUAAUACCGCAUAAUAUUAAUUAUUGCAUGAUAAUUGAUUGAAAGAUGCAAGCGCAUCACUAGUAGAUGGACCUGCGUUGUAUUAGCUAGUUGGUAAGGUAAGAGCUCACCAAGGCGACGAUACAUAGCCGACCUGAGAGGGUGAUCGGCCACACUGGGACUGAGACACGGCCCAGACUCCUACGGGAGGCAGCAGUAGGGAAUCUUCGGCAAUGGACGAAAGUCUGACCGAGCAACGCCGCGUGAGUGAAGAAGGUUUUCGGAUCGUAAAGCUCUGUUGUAAGUCAAGAACGUGUGUGAGAGUGGAAACG
RNAcentral lists this ribosomal RNA (459 nucleotides) under Streptococcus mutans. RNAcentral's name for it is "bacterial SSU rRNA". It matches the Rfam family "Bacterial small subunit ribosomal RNA", at positions 28 to 466 of the family's 1533-position model. The record is from RNAcentral. Lineage: Bacteria; Bacillati; Bacillota; Bacilli; Lactobacillales; Streptococcaceae.